CACUGCAAGUCGAGCGGCCGUAGCUUUACGUCAGCGGCAGACGGGUGAGUAACGCGUGGGAACAUACCUCUUGGUUCGGAACAACACAGGGAAACUUGUGCUAAUACCGGAUAAGCCCUUACGGGGAAAGAUUUAUCGCCGAGAGAUUGGCCCGCGUCUGAUUAGCUAGUUGGUAGGGUAAUGGCCUACCAAGGCGACGAUCAGUAGCUGGUCUGAGAGGAUGAUCAGCCACAUUGGGACUGAGACACGGCCCAAACUCCUACGGGAGGCAGCAGUGGGGAAUAUUGGACAAUGGGGGCAACCCUGAUCCAGCCAUGCCGCGUGAGUGAUGAAGGCCCUAGGGUUGUAAAGCUCUUUUGUGCGGGAAGAUAAUGACGGUACCGCAAGAAUAAGCCCCGGCUAACUUCGUGCCAGCAGCCGCGGUAAUACGAAGGGGGCUAGCGUUGCUCGGAAUCACUGGGCGUAAAGGGUGCGUAGGCGGGUUUUUAAGUCAGGGGUGAAAUCCUGGAGCUCAACUCCAGAACUGCCUUUGAUACUGAAGAUCUUGAGUCCGGGAGAGGUGAGUGGAACUGCGAGUGUAGAGGUGAAAUUCGUAGAUAUUCGCAAGAACACCAGUGGCGAAGGCGGCUCACUGGCCCGGUACUGACGCUGAGGCACGAAAGCGUGGGGAGCAAACAGGAUU
This 682-nucleotide ribosomal RNA is filed under the name Bradyrhizobium sp. Ad259. RNAcentral's name for it is "bacterial SSU rRNA". It matches the Rfam family "Bacterial small subunit ribosomal RNA", at positions 52 to 779 of the family's 1533-position model. Lineage: Bacteria; Pseudomonadati; Pseudomonadota; Alphaproteobacteria; Hyphomicrobiales; Nitrobacteraceae. The record is from RNAcentral.